GCCAGAGUGGUGCAGUGGUUUUAAACAUUUUACUAUGAGUUUGGAGACCAGUGUUCAAAUCUCUGCUUGGCCA
This is a non-coding RNA of Phrynosoma platyrhinos (Desert horned lizard), 73 nucleotides long. NCBI's taxonomy places the organism in Eukaryota, Metazoa, Chordata, Lepidosauria, Squamata, Phrynosomatidae. The record is from the annotation of a GenBank genome assembly.